AGCUACCUAUUUAAGAGUAUUAGCUCUUAUGAUUAAUGUUAAAUAUAUUUCUUUUAAAUAUUUAGGUAGGGGCGAAACGCCUACAAUUCUUUUGAUAUCUGGACUUUAAUUAAAUGUAUUUAGUACAGAAUCAUUUUUGAGAUAAAAGAUAUUAAGGUCUUUUAUAAUUUUAAACUUCAUUAACUCUUUUCUUCAUGAAGUAAUAUCCAAUAAGUUGCCUGAACUUAUAAUUAUUCUUUGAUAAUUUAAAUUAAAUAAUUAAAUAUACUAAAUAAUAUACUUUUAGUGUAAAUCCUGCUUAAAUUAGUAUUACUUCUAAUCUCCUUCUAGGAACUAGGCAAAUAUAACCCUUCGACUGUUUAUCAAAAACAUAGCUUGAUGAAUAAUUAAUAUUAAGUGUCUUCUGCCCGGUGUGUCUUAAUAAACGGCCGCGGUACCCUGACCGUGCUAAGGUAGCAUAAUCAAUUGGCCUUUAAUUGGGGUCUAGUAUCAAUGAAGUUACGUAGGGUUGCUGUCUUGUAGGAGUUUAAUAAAACUUUCUAUAUGAGGUGAAAAUUCCUCUAUUAUUGCCUGUUAGACAAGAAGACCCUUAGAGUUUUUAUUAAAGACCCCCACUUAUGGGUUUAAUAUUUUUGUUGGGGCGACAAGGUAACAAACAAAUAUAACUUACCUCUUGAGUGAUAUUCGACGAAUAAUUUUAAGUGAAAUUAAACUACCUAAGGGAUAACAGCGUUAUAAAUUUAUUUGUUUGCGACCUCGAUGUUGGAUUAGGUAUUUAAAAGCCUAAAAGGCUCUUGAAUAAGUUCUGUUCGAACAUAUUUACCUACAUGAUCUGAGUUCAGACCGGCGU
This 850-nucleotide ribosomal RNA is filed under the name Chlamydephorus lawrencei. Its description in RNAcentral is "partial 16S ribosomal RNA". It matches the Rfam family "Bacterial large subunit ribosomal RNA", at positions 728 to 2622 of the family's 2925-position model. Lineage: Eukaryota; Metazoa; Mollusca; Gastropoda; Stylommatophora; Chlamydephoridae. The record is from RNAcentral.